This 70-nucleotide transfer RNA is filed under the name Camelus bactrianus (Bactrian camel). It matches the Rfam family "tRNA". Rfam says of the family: Transfer RNA (tRNA) molecules are approximately 80 nucleotides in length. Lineage: Eukaryota; Metazoa; Chordata; Mammalia; Artiodactyla; Camelidae. The record is from Rfam by way of RNAcentral. RNAcentral also lists the same sequence under 2 other names.
GGGGGAAGCUCAGUGGUAGAGCGCAUGCUGUGCAUGCACGAGGUCCCGGGUUCAAUCCCCGGUACCUCCA